UACAAAAAAGAUUCACCAAAAACUCACGGCC
This 31-nucleotide non-coding RNA is filed under the name Mus musculus (house mouse). Lineage: Eukaryota; Metazoa; Chordata; Mammalia; Rodentia; Muridae. The record is from RNAcentral.